This 429-nucleotide ribosomal RNA is filed under the name bacterium. RNAcentral describes it as "partial 16S ribosomal RNA". It matches the Rfam family "Bacterial small subunit ribosomal RNA", at positions 355 to 776 of the family's 1533-position model. The record is from RNAcentral.
UAGGGAAUCUUCGGCAAUGGGGGCAACCCUGACCGAGCAACGCCGCGUGAGUGAAGAAGGUUUUCGGAUCGUAAAGCUCUGUUGUAAGAGAAGAACGUGUGUGAGAGUGGAAAGUUCACACAGUGACGGUAACUUACCAGAAAGGGACGGCUAACUACGUGCCAGCAGCCGCGGUAAUACGUAGGUCCCGAGCGUUGUCCGGCUUUAUUGGGCGUAAAGCGAGCGCAGGCGGUUUAAUAAGUCUGAAGUUAAAGGCAAUGGCUUAACCAUUGUUCGCUUUGGAAACUGUUAAACUUGAGUGCAGAAGGGGAGAGUGGAAUUCCAUGUGUAGCGGUGAAAUGCGUAGAUAUAUGGAGGAACACCGGUGGCGAAAGCGGCUCUCUGGUCUGUAACUGACGCUGAGGCUCGAAAGCGUGGGGAGCAAACAGG